Non-coding RNA from Characodon lateralis, 94 nucleotides. The record is from the annotation of a GenBank genome assembly. NCBI's taxonomy places the organism in Eukaryota, Metazoa, Chordata, Actinopteri, Cyprinodontiformes, Goodeidae.
GGCUGGGGGCUCAGUUGGUAGUGCACACAUACCAUGUGCAGAGGCUAUAGUUCUCAGCGCAAUUGUCCUGGGUUCGAUUCCCAGGCUCGGGUCA